GAUGAACGCUGGCGGCGUGCCUAAUACAUGCAAGUCGAACGAAGAUGCCGGAUGAGUAAUCGUUUGGUUUUCUUAGUGGCGAACGGGUGAGUAACGCGUUGGUGACCUGCCCCGAAGAGGGGGAUAACAGCUCGAAAGGGCUGCUAAUACCCCAUGAGUUCUUCCAGGUUAGAAACUGGUUGAGGAAAGACUUCGGUCGCUUCGGGAGGGGCCUGCGUCCCAUCAGCUAGUUGGUAGGGUAAUGGCCUACCAAGGCAAAGACGGGUAGGGGACCUGAGAGGGUGACCCCCCACAAUGGAACUGAAACACGGCCCAUACUCCUACGGGAGGCAGCAGUGAGGAAUAUUGGACAAUCAACGAAAGUUGGAUCCAGCAACGCCGCGUGGAUGAUGAAGGCCUUCGGGUUGUAAAAUCCUUUUAAGAGGGAAGAGUAAGGACGGUACCUCUUGAAUAAGUCUCGGCUAACUACGUG
Molecule: ribosomal RNA, 472 nt
Filed under: uncultured Chloroflexota bacterium
Lineage: Bacteria; Bacillati; Chloroflexota
Description: bacterial SSU rRNA
Rfam family: Bacterial small subunit ribosomal RNA
Source: RNAcentral